RNAcentral lists this ribosomal RNA (1382 nucleotides) under Bacillus sp. FR-W2C1. RNAcentral's name for it is "16S ribosomal RNA". It matches the Rfam family "Bacterial small subunit ribosomal RNA", at positions 15 to 1378 of the family's 1533-position model. Lineage: Bacteria; Bacillati; Bacillota; Bacilli; Caryophanales; Bacillaceae. The record is from RNAcentral.
GAUCCUGGCUCAGGACGAACGCUGGCGGCGUGCCUAAUACAUGCAAGUCGAGCGAAUGAUAGGGAGCUUGCUCCCUUGAUUUAGCGGCGGACGGGUGAGUAACACGUGGGCAACCUACCUGUAAGACUGGGAUAACUUCGGGAAACCGGAGCUAAUACCGGAUACUUUUUUUUCUCGCAUGAGAAGAGAUGGAAAGACGGUUUCGGCUGUCACUUACAGAUGGGCCCGCGGCGCAUUAGCUAGUUGGUGAGGUAAUGGCUCACCAAGGCCACGAUGCGUAGCCGACCUGAGAGGGUGAUCGGCCACACUGGGACUGAGACACGGCCCAGACUCCUACGGGAGGCAGCAGUAGGGAAUCUUCCGCAAUGGACGAAAGUCUGACGGAGCAACGCCGCGUGAACGAAGAAGGCUUUCGGGUCGUAAAGUUCUGUUGUUAGGGAAGAACAAGUACCAGAGUAACUGCUGGUACCUUGACGGUACCUAACCAGAAAGCCACGGCUAACUACGUGCCAGCAGCCGCGGUAAUACGUAGGUGGCAAGCGUUGUCCGGAAUUAUUGGGCGUAAAGCGCGCGCAGGUGGUUCCUUAAGUCUGAUGUGAAAGCCCACGGCUCAACCGUGGAGGGUCAUUGGAAACUGGGGAACUUGAGUGCAGAAGAGGAAAGUGGAAUUCCAAGUGUAGCGGUGAAAUGCGUAGAGAUUUGGAGGAACACCAGUGGCGAAGGCGACUUUCUGGUCUGUAACUGACACUGAGGCGCGAAAGCGUGGGGAGCGAACAGGAUUAGAUACCCUGGUAGUCCACGCCGUAAACGAUGAGUGCUAAGUGUUAGAGGGUUUCCGCCCUUUAGUGCUGCAGCUAACGCAUUAAGCACUCCGCCUGGGGAGUACGGCCGCAAGGCUGAAACUCAAAGGAAUUGACGGGGGCCCGCACAAGCGGUGGAGCAUGUGGUUUAAUUCGAAGCAACGCGAAGAACCUUACCAGGUCUUGACAUCCUUUUGCCCUCCCUAGAGAUAGGGACUUCCCUUCGGGGACAAAAGUGACAGGUGGUGCAUGGUUGUCGUCAGCUCGUGUCGUGAGAUGUUGGGUUAAGUCCCGCAACGAGCGCAACCCUUGAUCUUAGUUGCCAGCAUUUAGUUGGGCACUCUAAGGUGACUGCCGGUGACAAACCGGAGGAAGGUGGGGAUGACGUCAAAUCAUCAUGCCCCUUAUGACCUGGGCUACACACGUGCUACAAUGGAUGGUACAAAGAGCUGCGAACCCGCGAGGGUAAGCGAAUCUCAUAAAGCCAUUCUCAGUUCGGAUUGUAGGCUGCAACUCGCCUACAUGAAGCCGGAAUCGCUAGUAAUCGUGGAAUCAGCAUGCCACGGUGAAUACGUUCCCGGG